This 253-nucleotide ribosomal RNA is filed under the name uncultured bacterium. RNAcentral describes it as "partial 16S ribosomal RNA". It matches the Rfam family "Bacterial small subunit ribosomal RNA", at positions 524 to 776 of the family's 1533-position model. The record is from RNAcentral.
GACGAACCGUGCGAACGUUGUUCGGAAUCACUGGGCUUAAAGGGCGCGUAGGCGGGCUCCCAAGUCUGGGGUGAAAUCUUUCGGCUUAACCGGAAAAGUGCCUCGGAUACUGGGAGCCUUGAGGGAGGCAGGGGCGGAUGGAACUUCCGGUGGAGCGGUGAAAUGCGUUGAUAUCGGAAGGAACGCCGGUGGCGAAAGCGAUCCGCUGGACCUCUUCUGACACUGAGGCGCGAAAGCCAGGGGAGCGAACGGG